RNAcentral lists this unclassified non-coding RNA (139 nucleotides) under soil metagenome. Its description in RNAcentral is "partial internal transcribed spacer 1". The record is from RNAcentral.
CCUAGAGUUGUAGGCUUUGCCUGCUAUCUCUUACCCAUGUCUUUUGAGUACCUUACGUUUCCUCGGCGGGUCCGCCCGCCGAUUGGGACAAUUUAAACCAUUUGCAGUUGCAAUCAGCGUCUGAAAAACUUAAUAGUUA